UCGCCUGUUUUUUCCAAAAACAUCGCCUCUUGAUUAAACAUAAGAGGUCCAGCCUGCCCAGUGACAUAGUUUAACGGCCGCGGUACCCUAACCGUGCGAAGGUAGCAUAAUCACUUGUUCUUUAAAUAGGGACUCGUAUCAACGGCAUCACGAGGGCUAUACUGUCUCCUUUCUCCAAUCAAUGAAACUGAUCUCCCCGUGAAGAAGCGGGGAUUAACCUAUAAGACGAGAAGACCCCAUGGAGCUUCAAACUCAACAUAUACCUCUACGCACUUAAACCACUUUAGCCCAAGAGACCUCUAUGUUAGUUUUGGGUUGGGGGGACCGCGGAGUAAAAAUUAACCUCCACGACAAACGGGCUUUAUGCCCUUAUCCACGAACCACAGCUCUAAGAAUCAAUAAACUGAUGUUUAUGACCCGAUUAUUCGAUCAACGAACCAAGUUACCCUGGGGAUAACAGCGCAAUCUACUUCAAGAGCCCCUAUCGACAAGUAGGUUUACGACCUCGAUGUUGGAUCAGGGUAUCCUAGUGGUGCAGCCGCUACUAAUGGUUCGUUUGUUCAACGAUUAAAACCCUACGUGAUCUGAGUUCCAGACCGGA
RNAcentral lists this ribosomal RNA (601 nucleotides) under Pelophylax nigromaculatus (dark-spotted frog). RNAcentral's name for it is "partial large subunit ribosomal RNA". It matches the Rfam family "Bacterial large subunit ribosomal RNA", at positions 1796 to 2620 of the family's 2925-position model. Lineage: Eukaryota; Metazoa; Chordata; Amphibia; Anura; Ranidae. The record is from RNAcentral.